CUAAGGGUUGAGGGGAGCUCCGCACUUCCUUUCCAUGCGGCCCCCGGGCGCGCAGGCUUCUCGUGCAGCAUGGCGGGCGACGGAGGCCCGGGCCUGUGGAUCCCGGCCUGUCCUCGGGCUCUUCCAGGUACAACAAAACCUGUCUCUCUUGAAGGUGCUUGAACAAAUGUUUUCCUGAAACUUGUCAUGGAAGGUGGUUUAAAUAAGCCACCAGGACAGCAGUUGCCAGUAACAAGGUACAGAUAUUAAGCAUGUAGGUAGCUGCAGGUGAAACUCCCACCUCAGGAGCUGUGAUGUUUACAAAUACUUCGUUGGUUUCAGGUGCAGCAGACAUUUGGAUGGUGAAAUGAAGAAUUGGUCAGGAAACCGUGAACAGAAGCAAAUGAUGAGUUAGUGUUUUAUUUGAUAGUAAUCAACAAUAAAUUAUGUAGAAAUAAACCGCAA
This is a long non-coding RNA of Myodes glareolus (Bank vole), 444 nucleotides long. RefSeq lists it as uncharacterized. The record is from RefSeq and is a predicted model, not a curated record. NCBI's taxonomy places the organism in Eukaryota, Metazoa, Chordata, Mammalia, Rodentia, Cricetidae.